CUUCAGCGAGCCCAGCCACAGCGGCCGUCCCUCCGGCCGGUCCUGCCCGUACGUGGCCAGCAGCGCCUGUGCCUC
RNAcentral lists this antisense RNA (75 nucleotides) under Streptomyces malaysiensis. Its description in RNAcentral is "ASpks TB sRNA". It matches the Rfam family "ASpks TB sRNA". The record is from Rfam by way of RNAcentral. Lineage: Bacteria; Bacillati; Actinomycetota; Actinomycetes; Kitasatosporales; Streptomycetaceae.